GACGGAGGAUGCAAGCGUUAUCCGGAAUUAUUGGGCGUAAAGCGUCCGUAGGCGGUCGAACAAGUCUGCUGUUAAAGACUACAGCUCAACUGUGGGAUGGCGGUGGAAACUGUGCGACUAGAGUGCGGUAGGGGUAGAGGGAAUUCCCAGUGUAGCGGUGAAAUGCGUAGAUAUUGGGAAGAACACCAGUGGCGAAGGCGCUCUACUGGGCCGCAACUGACGCUGAUGGACGAAAGCUAGGGGAGCGAAUGGG
This 253-nucleotide ribosomal RNA is filed under the name uncultured bacterium. Its description in RNAcentral is "partial 16S ribosomal RNA". It matches the Rfam family "Bacterial small subunit ribosomal RNA", at positions 524 to 776 of the family's 1533-position model. The record is from RNAcentral.